CUACGCUUCCUGUACCUUUAAGUUCUCAAACCUUAUCUGAUUGGACAAAACAGAAACAUAAGGCGUAGUUUUGCUCGGAAGAUUCAGAAAGACGUGACUUGUGCUAAGAAUCGAUAUUUUUUGAAAAUAAACAUGAUCAAUCAUACUAACCGGAAGCGCGGAUCUUUCAGGAUUUUUUUCUUAGUUUUUUAGUUGUUUUGGAUUAAAAUGUGGGAUGCGUCUUAAAGGGUGAACCCUUAUACGUUGCAAUGUUCUGGUGUUUCUUGGAUUCGUCCGAAAUGAUCUGGGCCGGGUUCCCCGAUAACGUUCACUCUUAGCGUGCUAAGAAGACUCAAAAAGAUAUAACGUUAUCUUACCAAAGUUGUUGAUGUGAAACAGACCGGAUUCGACUCGCGAUCGUUAUAAGGCCUUCAACUGACACAGAUAAUGACUGGAGUCUGGAGUCCAAUCCCGAGCGAGCACAUUCAACAUAACAAGUGCACAUUUUUUGUUUGGAUAAAAGCUCACAGAAACUAAAACCAGAUGUAUGCAGCUUUGCCAGGCGUGCAGCACCAGCGUAAACCAGCUAAGACCACUCUUCUAAGCUUUCAGCCUGGUAAAGCUGGUUUUUCGAUCUGAACAGCUAUAAGUGGACUCUAAAAACCUCUCUAAAACCAGCCUGCUACACCAGCUAAAACCAAACUGGGAGACCAGGUCAACUAGCUUAGGUCCACGUGCUCAUCUUCACUCAAACCUUUGCAGAGAAAUGAAACAGUGACUGCAUGUUUGAUCUACAGUCGCCACCUGCUGGUGAUAAAAAUGAAUAACAUUAAUAGAAAGUAUGACUUCAACAUAUUUUUGGUGGUAUGGUACAGUGCUUUAUAUAGAUUAAUGGUAUAUCUCUAUUUAUAGUUGUAUUAUGCCACAUUUAACCUCCUAAGACCUGGAUGUCACGUAUGUGGACAUCAAUGUUUUUGUUGUUUGCACCAUAAUACUUAAUUCUGUGUAACUGGAACCUGUUAUACACAAACAUGGACAAAUACACUGCUUCAUGUUCAAAGAAAAAUAUUUGAUUAUUAUAUUUAUUGGAUCCCCAAAAUAGCUGGUAGAAAUCUGAAAAUAAAAGACAAACCAAAGCUCGGUCUUAGGAGGUUAAUUUAGGCUUCAUGUUAUCUGACCAAAGAUAGGAGAUUGUUGCAUAAAAUUGGUUUGGGGCAGAAAAAAAUAUUUUGGUAGUGGAAACAUUUUUUAAGAUCUUUUCCUCUCAUCUCAUUCAGUAUUUUGUCCAACACCAUGACCCUUUAGUCUCUGUGGUGGUUCUUCAUGAGUCAACAUGUCAAAUGUCCUUUAAUGUUUUUGGGAAUUACAGUGUUUAGUGAAUUUAACCCUGCAGUAAAUCCAGCAAUAUGUAACUCUGUUGAUGCUUUAACUGCUGUAAGGGAUGAGGGAUUAUAAUCUUACUUAAUGUCUGUUUUUGACUGACUGCCGGUGUUUAACUAUUUGAUAUGCGUGAAGGAUUUUGAGCAAUUAAAAAACCUUUUGUAUGUAUCAUGCAUUAAAAUAUAUGACCUCUGAUGCUUUUGAUGAUUUAAAUAAAAUCUCCAUACAAUCUGA
Long non-coding RNA from Paramisgurnus dabryanus, 1593 nucleotides. RefSeq lists it as uncharacterized. The record is from RefSeq and is a predicted model, not a curated record. Lineage: Eukaryota; Metazoa; Chordata; Actinopteri; Cypriniformes; Cobitidae.